Molecule: ribosomal RNA, 450 nt
Filed under: uncultured bacterium
Lineage: Bacteria
Description: partial 16S ribosomal RNA
Rfam family: Bacterial small subunit ribosomal RNA
Source: RNAcentral
GUGGGGAAUAUUGGACAAUGGGCGAAAGCCUGAUCCAGCCAUGCCGCGUGUGUGAAGAAGGUCUUCGGAUUGUAAAGCACUUUAAGUUGGGAGGAAGGUCAGUAAGUUAAUACCUUGCUGUUUUGACGUUACCGACAGAAUAAGCACCGGCUAACUUCGUGCCAGCAGCCGCGGUAAUACGAAGGGUGCAAGCGUUAAUCGGAAUUACUGGGCGUAAAGCGCGCGUAGGUGGUUCAGUAAGUUGGAAGUGAAAUCCCCGGGCUCAACCUGGGAACUGCCUCCAAAACUACUGAGCUAGAGUACGGUAGAGGGUAGUGGAAUGUCCUGUGUAGCGGUGAAAUGCGUAGAUAUAGGAAGGAACACCAGUGGCGAAGGCGACUACCUGGACUGAUACUGACACUGAGGUGCGAAAGCGUGGGGAGCAAACAGGAUUAGAAACCCUGGUAGUCC